This 31-nucleotide non-coding RNA is filed under the name Homo sapiens (human). The record is from RNAcentral. Lineage: Eukaryota; Metazoa; Chordata; Mammalia; Primates; Hominidae.
UCUCAGCAAGGCAAUCUUUACUUUCUGCAGA